RNAcentral lists this unclassified non-coding RNA (79 nucleotides) under Flavobacterium chilense. RNAcentral describes it as "Flavo-1 RNA". Lineage: Bacteria; Pseudomonadati; Bacteroidota; Flavobacteriia; Flavobacteriales; Flavobacteriaceae. The record is from RNAcentral.
UAUUAAACCAGUUCGAAGGAGCAUCUUUAGCUUAUAAUAUGCCUGUUGCGGUAAAAUUUACCGGAGAUCUGGAUGUUUU